Long non-coding RNA from Diabrotica virgifera virgifera (western corn rootworm), 847 nucleotides. RefSeq lists it as uncharacterized. The transcript has 3 exons. Lineage: Eukaryota; Metazoa; Arthropoda; Insecta; Coleoptera; Chrysomelidae. The record is from RefSeq and is a predicted model, not a curated record.
AAUAAAAAAAAUACUUAUAACUUAUGCAAAACCCAAGAGAGGCAUUUAUAUUUAUUUCUUUUGCGUUCAUUGUUCAUUUUCAAAUUCGCCGUGCAUAUAUUUUUGUGCAUGGCGCUUGAGAGGGCAUCACGUGACUAAAAACGACCAACCAACGACCUCGCUUCGGCCAUCUUCCAUCUUGGCAUCUUCAUCUUCUCCACCUUGACCUUGCUUUGCCGUGGGUGGAUCGUUGUUUCUAUUAUUUGUGCUUUUUAAGAAUAUUUUUUUAAUUCGGAUACUUUUAUAAUAGCUUUAAUAGUAUUAUUAACAUAGUGAAUAAAAUGGUGUCCUGUUUUUAACGCAGUUGGAGUAGCAGAAACAAAUGUAGAUAAAAAAAUCUGCAGGAAUAACGUUUCAAUUAUGACAGAAGCUCCAAACAAAUGACUGAAUGAAAAGCCCUAUUAAAAGCUUUCCAGAAGAUCCUGCGAAGAAGACAUGAAGUAUAGAUCAGAUUUGUUAAUAGAGGAGUAUGUUCAAAACACUUUUUAGAAAAAGAUAUUGACAGAACUUCACUUUCAUCUGUUCGUUUAAGAGACUGUGCUGUUCCAAUAGCUUAUGUCACACAGAAUCAGCUGAGAGAAGUGGUCUACAAAAAACCAGAAAGGAAACGGAAUAUGUGGCUACGAAAAGCAAAAGAAAGGUUUACAAAGCAAAUGUGACACAUUUUUUUAUAAUAUUUAGGAAUGUCAGUAAAUUACAUUAAAAAAUGUAUGUAAAGAUUUUUUGCAAUAAAAAUGUUUAUAUUUAUCAAGCAUGUAUUAUUUGGUAUGGCCACAUAUCGUCAGUGAUGUGACAAUACCUCCUAUCU